This 562-nucleotide ribosomal RNA is filed under the name uncultured bacterium. Its description in RNAcentral is "bacterial SSU rRNA". It matches the Rfam family "Bacterial small subunit ribosomal RNA", at positions 56 to 644 of the family's 1533-position model. The record is from RNAcentral.
UGCAAGUCGAACGAGACCUUCGGGUCUAGUGGCGCACGGGUGAGUAACGCGUGGAAACCUACCAUUCUGUACGGAAUAACGAUUGGAAACGAUCGCUAAUACCGUAUACGCCCUGUGGGGGAAAGGUCCGCCGCAGAAUGAGGGGUCCGCGUCCGACUAGCUUGUUGGUGGGGUAAAAGCCUACCAAGGCGAUGAUCGGUAGCUGGUCUGAGAGGAUGAUCAGCCACACUGGGACUGAGACACGGCCCAGACUCCUACGGGAGGCAGCAGUGGGGAAUAUUGGACAAUGGGGGCAACCCUGAUCCAGCAAUGCCGGCGUGUGUGAAGAAGGCCUUAGGGUUGUAAAGCACUUUUCAAUGGUGAAGAUUGAUGACGGUAGCCGGUAAAAAGAAAGCCCCGGGCUAACUCUCCGUGCCAAGCAGCCGCGGGUAAUACGAAGGGGGGCGGAGCGUUUGUUCGGAAUAUACUUGGGCGUAAAGGGCGGCGCAGGCGCGCCAAUCCAGUCAGGGGUGGAAAGCCCCGGGCUUAACCUGGGAACUGCCCUUUGUACUGAUUGGGCUAG